RNAcentral lists this non-coding RNA (183 nucleotides) under Alkalihalobacillus sp. MEB130. RNAcentral's name for it is "6S RNA". It matches the Rfam family "6S / SsrS RNA". Rfam says of the family: E. coli 6S RNA was the first non coding RNA to be sequenced, but its function was unknown until recently. It consists of 184 nucleotides that fold into an extended hairpin structure with a large single-stranded internal bulge. Lineage: Bacteria; Bacillati; Bacillota; Bacilli; Caryophanales; Bacillaceae. The record is from RNAcentral.
CAUAUCCUACGAUGUGCGUAAACCCUUUUUGUUUUAAACCGUAUUGUUUUCUAGGGAUUCUAACAUUUGAUAACUGAUGCCAAGCCUUCAUUUAUGAAGGAUCGCAAGAUGUUACCAUGAAGAAACCCACCUGCUCAGAGCGGGUUAUAAAAACAGUUAGGGUGACGGCAUCAGUGGGAAUAU